GUAGGGUGCGAGCGUUAAUCGGAAUUACUGGGCGUAAAGCGUGCGCAGGUGGUUUUGUAAGUCAGAUGUGAAAUCCCCGGGCUUAACCUGGGAACUGCGUUUGAAACUGCAAGGCUAGAGUGUGGCAGAGGGGGGUGGAAUUCCGCGUGUAGCAGUGAAAUGCGUAGAGAUGUGGGGGAACACCGAUGGCGAAGGCAGCCCCCUGGGUCAACACUGACGCUCAGGCACGAAAGCAUGGGGAGCAAACAGGAUUAGAUACCCUGGUAGUCCAUGCCCUAAACGAUGUCAACUAGUUGUCGGGUCUUAACGGGCUUGGUAACGUAGCUAACGCGUGAAGUUGACCGCCUGGGGAGUACGAUCGCAAGAUUA
RNAcentral lists this ribosomal RNA (369 nucleotides) under uncultured organism. RNAcentral's name for it is "partial 16S ribosomal RNA". It matches the Rfam family "Bacterial small subunit ribosomal RNA", at positions 527 to 896 of the family's 1533-position model. The record is from RNAcentral.